Molecule: long non-coding RNA, 10514 nt
Filed under: Coffea arabica (coffee)
Lineage: Eukaryota; Viridiplantae; Streptophyta; Magnoliopsida; Gentianales; Rubiaceae
Description: long non-coding RNA (CARA_LNC006647)
Source: RNAcentral
UUGCUUGUAGCGGAAGAGAGAGGGGAAUGGGGAAAAAGCCAAGGCCAAAGCCAAGCCCAAAGAUGACGUCUAUGCGAAUGGGACUUCUAAUCCUCAUUUGGAGAGCGUGGAGGACGACCAGACAAGUCCUAGCAGGUUACCAUCAAAGAAGAAGGCAUCAAUGAGCAGCUUACCCUCAAAGAAGAAAUUGUCAAAGAAAGCAUCACCAAGAAGCUUACCUUUAAAGAAGAAUUCAUCUAAGAAGGCAUUAUUAAAUAUGGCUAGAACUGUUAGGAGGUCAGGACGGCUUAGGAAUUUACGAUCAGCUAAGCCAAACCAAGAAAUGAUUGUGGAAAAGAUUGAUCUUGCUGGUAGUAAGAGUGAAGAGGAGUCACUUGAUCAACAAUCAAACUUAGAGCCUUUUCUUCAUCAAGAAAACUCAGAGCCUAUUGUUCAACAAUUGAAUGCAGAGUGUAUUGUUCAAGAAGUGAACACAGAGGCUGUUGUUCAAGAAGCAUACUCAGAGCCACUUGCUCAACUUUUUAACUCAGAACCAAUCUCUAAUCAACACAACUUGGAAGAAAAAAUUGACUUUCUUGUUCAGUCUGUUGAAGAAUUCAAGUCUCAGGUUGUUCAGGGUCAAAAAAGGUCAUUUCCAAGUGAAACUCAGCGUAUGGAACUUAAUUAUAAAAGUCUGUAUAUUGAGUCACAAAAAAAGGUUGAGGCCUUAACUGAGGAAAAUCAUCAACUCACCAAAAAGUUGGAAUUCCCCAGUGGAGUCGUCAAGUUGGAGCAAACUUUCCUUUAACCUCCUCUUGAAUCGGAAGAAUUCGCUUCGAAACCUUAUCCCAUACAUCAAAUAAGCGACAUUUGUCUUUCUUGUCAUAACCAAUAAACCAUCCUUUGUUGAUAGCAUUGUUCAUGAAAAAUAACAUUCAACCUCUUUUCCAUCCAUUGGAGACAGCAAUUCAUUGUGCUUCAUGAUCCAUUUGAUUUCUUCUACCUGAGCGUUCGUCAAAAUGCACAAGAACGGAAUCUCAAUUUUGGCAGGUAUUACCACUUCCAUUCGAAGCAUAAGGUGUUGCCCCAACUUAGAAAUGUAAUCUCCAAGUGAAAUGCUCCCCAAAGUUCAAUAGCAAAAAUUUGCAAAAUUGAAGGGAAAAUUCUCUCUCCUUUUUUUCACUCCCCUUUUUCUUUCUCCUUUUUUUUUUUUCAAGUUGGCUACUGAAGUAUGUACUCCUUCUGAAUAAAUAGCCGAUCCUCCACUUUGCAAUGUAGUAUUAUUGCCCCUUUUUUAUUCGUGAUUACCCUCCAAAUUUGCAAGAUUUUGACUUGCGUCUUUUUCUCAAUCUUAACCAUAAACUCCUGCACAAGGGGGAUUUUUCAAAACACUUGAAUUUUUCAAAAAUUUUUUUUUUCUUUUUUUCUUUUGUUUUGUUUUUCCUUUUUCCUUUUUUUUGAGUAAUGAUAUAAGAAUUAAGGUUCAAGCAAAGUGUUGACUUACCAAAAUUUGAAAAAUAUAUACUUGACCUUGGACAUAUCCUAUAAAUGUAUUAUAAAAUUGUCUCAAUUUGAACUUAUUUGGUGAAAUCUCACAAAUAUAUCACAAAAAAUUUGCCUCAAUUUGAGCUUAUUUUAGUUGCAAAAUAAUCACAUGCAAUGUGAAUAGAAACUACAUUUUUCAAAUGCAGAAUUUAAAUGUCAUAUCCAAACUCAUAUAGAAGAUUCCAUGAUAACUCUCUCAAAAUAAGACAAAAUUGCAAAAGAUCGAUUUCUCAUUUUUGGGAUCGGUGUUUAGAGAAAGUGGCCACUUUUCUUAUUAGCUCAUCCUUUAGGAUCAAACAAACAAGUAUUAUUUCUAAUUUUGAGAUGGCUCUGGGGGAUGGUAUGUCAGGAUUUGUAUUUUUUUUGUGCCCAAAUUUUGUCUAACCCAUUCAAUAUCACAUCUUGAUGAAAGUAAAUAGUUUAUCACCCUUAUUUCUUGAGAAAACUCAAUCAACAUAUAAGAUCUAUAGGCUUGUAAUAUAUGGGUAGAAACGAUAGUUAAAUAUAUGAAAACAGGUUAUGGUCUUAUGAUCAUGAGUGAUUGGUAGAUUCCUUAGAAACAUGAUCCUUACUUCAAAUUGUCAUGAAAGAUAAGUCAGUAAUGGACUUUAUGAGCUUGUAAUGUGGUUUGACAACGAUAGCUAAAAGAAAUAAAAUUUUCAAGAACAAUGCACUUAAGAUCAUAUUUCUUCCCAAAAAUUGCCCCAGUUUUGGACUUAACACUCGGGACCCCAUUUUGACUCUUUUUUUUUUUUUUUUAUCAAUCACGAGAGGGAAUUCAGCAUUGGAUGUCUUUGCAUUUUUUUUUUCAUUUUUCUUUGCUUCUCUCUUUUUCUUUCUUUUUUUUUUUACCAAUACUGAGAUUCCAAAUGUCAAUUAUAGAAUUGAAAACUCCCUAAUUUUGGAGUGUAGAUGGCACCUCUUUCUUUUCGAUAUUGAAGACCAAAUAUCAAUGGUAGAGUCAAAUUCCCCCAACUUAUAGUUUUUCUCUUUUCUUCUUUUUUUUUUAAAAAAACUCCUUCCUCAGUGUGGGGGUACGAUCAUAAUUGCUUUUGAAACGAACCCACCAAUUUAGGUUCAAAUAAAGAUGCAAAGAAUAAAAAGUGUUUGGAUGGUAGAAACGAUGGCCAAAACAUCAUUCUUAUUUCUCAUGACAACCAAAGUAAAGAAUAGCCUGUUGGGAUAAUCCAUUUCCUUUUGACAUUUGAAAAUUUUUUCAUGUAAGGUCAUGAUCAUUGAGGCUUUUAUUUGAAACGAAAUUCUAUUUUUUAAAGUCUCAAAUGGAAAAACAAAUGAUAAAAUCUGUAUAGAUUGAUAAACGAAAACUUAAAGUAUCAUUCCAAAUUUUCAAAACAAAUAAGAAGUAAUGUACAUUUUUGAUUUCACUUAGAUGUGGAUUGAAUCUGAUUAGACAAAGUGAACAUUUUCACUGUAAAGAUUGUCUCACUUUAAAGCUCGUCAACCAAUGUGACUGGCUUUGUAAGUUCGAUAGACGUGGACAAAAAUAUAAAUUACAAAAAUAAGAGAGAGAAAAGUAUCGGAGUUGAUCUUUUAUGACAAACUAUCAAAUUUGAGUGACCCCUUUUGCUUUCAACUACUCUCAUUGAAUAGUUUAGAUCACAAAUUUAGUGUAUACAAAGAUUUUUGGGAAUUGGACAAACACUUGUGAAUUUUCAAACAAAAGGUCGAAAAAUCUCAAUUUAGUCUUAUUUUUUAAAAUCCAUCAUGAAAUCUUUCAAUGAGCAAAUAAAGAAUGAAUAUAUGCAAAAUAAUAAUUGUCUAAAUAAAAACUUAUUAUUCAAAUAUUUGAAUUUUUUUUACUCAAAUAUAAUACAUAUGAGAAAAUAAAAAUCUCUAAAGAAUACACUUUCAAAUAUAUACACUUUCUCUUUCUAUCUUUUGAGAUAAAAUGUUUUGGAAACAAUGAAUCAAGAGAUUUUUGAGAUGCUUCAAGAGAUUUUCAAAUGGAUUUUUCAUUUAUUUUUUUUAUAAGAUCUGCCCAAGAAUCAAGUAACACUCAUAAUUUUCAAAAAUUUAUCAGACCAAAAAUAUUAUCAGAUAUAGUAAAAAUAUUUUUUACUCCAUUGAAACAUUUUUUCUAAAUGCAGGGGAGGGGAAAAAAUAAAAGAAAAAUACCCAGAGUUAGUAAGCAAAAUUGUAAAAUCAGGAUACAUGUCCUAUGGGGAAGUCCUUUUAUGCCAAGGGUUGGCCUAGCAUGAAAAAUGUAAUCUUUUGGGGUAAGCACCAUACAAUACCUGAUAGAUCCGAUCGACUUAUUGAGAUUCGAAUAAAAGACAAUUUUGAAAAUUUUGGCUAAUUGGAGUGACAGGAGACAAUUUGUUCUAACAAAAUGAGGAAAAAGUCCGAAUGGAUUGAUUGCUUUUGAUUGACACAUAAAGUGAUAUUAAAAAUCAAUUUAAUGUGAAAAACUUAUUUUUGAAAGAAUUGAAAUGUCUCGACUAGUUUUUUCGGUGAACUAUAGAUCGAAACUUUAAAAGAGAAUAAACGAGUUAAAUGGAUCGAAUGAAAUUGAUUAUUAGUUCAAAAAAUUGACUGAAUUAUCCAAAAAGUGAAUAAAACUGAUCAAAUGAAUUGAAUGAAAUUGAUGAUUUAUUCGAAAAAAAUUGAUUGGAUUAUCCUAAAAAUGAAUGAUGAAUUGGAUGGAACUGACGGUUUAUUUGAAAAUUGACUUGAUUGCCCAAGAAGUGAAUAAACUAGUAAAAUGAAUUGGAUGAAAUUGACGAUUUAUUCAAAAAUUGACUGGACUGACCUGAAGUGAAUAAAUCGGUCAAAAUGGAUUGGAUGGAAUUAACGGUUUAUUCGAAAAUCGACUGGAUUACUCCACUAUUUGUAGUUUCAAAACUCACAAAAUUUGUUGCAAAGCAUUAGUCUAUGAGUUUUCUAAAAUCAAGAUUUGACCUCGAUAUAUUUAUCAUCUCAACAAUGAGAAAUUAUUUGUGAAUUUUUUCAAUUUAUUGUCCUUUAUGCAAAGGAUUUUACCAACUUUGACAAAAUGGCCAAAAAAUGAUUAUUAAAGGCUAAUAUUCCAAUGCGCGAAAACUGUUCCAUCACUAUUCUCAAUGUCGUCAUCGUGGAAGGGAUCAGAUCCUACCUUACCUUGUGAAUUACCUCUUUGGAUGGUACAAAAAUAUAAACGUGCAAGUCACAUUGGAUUGUGUAUUCGAGACAAAAGAUAGAUUUUUCCUAACGUGGGAUUCCCUAUGCGGCAUUCCGUCUAUGGUUAAUGCAUGAUGACAAUUUAUUAAAACGUAUUAAAUAUACAAUGAAAUAAUUGAAAUAUGACCUAUAAGUGUCCCAUUUAAAUGGCAGGGUAAGCUUAAAAUGAUGUACAUGUAUAUAUAUAUAUAUUUAUAUAUACACAUAGUAUUAACGCGAUAAACUGAAAUUUAAACGUGCUAUUUACAAAAGGUGGUCUGCCCUAAGUGAGUACCACGCUAGGACUCUUGUUUCUAGGGCUUAUGAAUGCAAUAUAAGAAAAUAAAACAAUGGUUAGUUUAAUAAACGACACAUAACAUAUUGGAUCAACAAAAUAAUACAUAAAUAUAAGAUAAAAAAGAAAAAGAGAGGGGGUAAAAUCCCUCCCGUCGUAUCUAGUGUUCUUAAUAGGGUAGAUGAAGGUUCUAUCUUAGGUGAUUUCUAAAUGGAUGCAUGAGGUUGGGCUCACUAAUGCAUCUAAACUCGAUAAAGUUUCAGAUUCCCAAACCUUCAGACAAAAGGGCGAAGGGUCCUCAAUUCCAAAGUUCUUAGUCGGUGGCUCGAGUGACCCCUUUGAUAUUGCAACGUGCAUGUCGUGCCACGGUCACAUGUUCAAGUGGAUCGAUCCUAAUCCUAACAUAGAGGAAUGGUGUGAUAACCACUAAAAGAAAAUAAGAUAAAAGUUAAAAAUAAUAACAUAUGCACGUAUGAAGUGCUCAUUUGAGGGGAAGGAGUAAUACCCUUAAACAUGCAUGAAGGCUCUAUGGUAAUGUCGCUCCCCAUCCCCAAAUGCUAAGCGCGAUACAAAUAAAUAAAUAAACAAAAGUAAAUAGAUAAACCAUUUAUCACAUACACAAAAAACGAGGAACGAAUACUAGUGUGAAAUGUAAAACAUUCUGAAAAAAAGAAAAAUGCAACCUAAAACAUUCAAAUAUGAUAAAUGAAAGGGUUAGAAAGAUAAAAAACAACUAUGCCAAGUGCUUGGACUCUCUAGCGUUCCCAGUAGAUUCGCCAAGUAGUCGCGCCCUAUUUUUCACGAUGGAAAAAAAAUAUUUUUACCAUAGAUGCGGUUUUAUUUAAAAUAAGUGAAAAGAAAAUGUGAAAAGGGAUCUAAAAUGAGACUUUAAAAAAUGCGACACUUUGGGUCCAAAAAUUUAGUCAAAAGGAUUUUAAAGAAAAUAGAAGUCGCCACUUGGUAUUGAGUUUGAGUGUACCAAGUCACCCCAAAAAAUAUUUUUUAACAAAAAUAAAAUAAAAUAAAACUCCUUUCGACAACUACAGGUCUUUGAAAAACAAAAGAAAAUAGGUUCGGAAGUCACGGUCGAAAAAAGGGAAGGCAAAGAUUUGAUUAACUCAAACUUAAGGCAUCCUUUCAACUUAGUCUAAGUUAGUUGCGAGAUUUAGUCAAAAUUUUCCUAAUCUAGCUCUUAAUUCUAUCACAUUUGGAUGUUUUCUACAUGAAUGCAAAUCUAAAUUUAUAAAAUAUCGAAAGGGACAAAAUAUCCAUUUAAGGGUUUAAUUGAUACCAAUCGCAUUGAUUGCGAAGACAAAAUAAUUUCUUGAAGGGGUCACGAGCAUGCAUAAAUUGAAUUCAAAGAAAAGAAAAGAAACUUAAAUUAUAUAUCUAGAUAUAAGUGCGCAAAGAAUAGAAAAACAACAUAAUAGAUACGGGAGACAAAAACUCGUGACCUAAUUUUCUUAUACAGGGAUUAAUGGGUAUUUAAACUAAAAAAUUAUAAUCACCCAUUUCCCAUGUUCAAAGAAUAAUUCUCCUAACAUGAGCAAGCAAAUGAAUUAGCUGAAAUGAGAUACAAUUCUAAAUUAUAUGAUUAACACAUAUAGAGGGUAGGGGAUAAUAUAAUAGGAAAUAUCAUGCAAAUGAGAAAAAUUCUAAAAAUAAAAAUAUACAUGAAAAUGUAAUGGAUAUCAUACAAAAGAUGAAUCUAAUGCAUGAACCAUAUACGGGUCUCGCGUUGGACUAGCCCAUUUCUAAAAAAAUCUUUACUAGCAUUGGACUAGCAAGUAAAUAGAGGGAGAAACCACAACUAGCAUUGGACUAGUGUGGUGACGUCAUGCAUUCUUAACACAUAAUAUGAUAAAUAAGGCAUAAAUUAAAAUAAACAAACACAUAAGAGCACGUAGCACGUAACACAUGAUAUCUAAAUGCAAAGACCCUAAGAAAACGAGUAAACACGUAAACAUACAAGUAUGCAAACACACAAAGCAAAUAAGAGCAGAUAGAGACCUAACUAUUACAAUUUGGCAUUCAAUUGCCUUUUAAAUAAUCAUCAAAAAAUAAAUUUGUAGAACUUAAAAUAUAACAAGUAAAUAAAUAAAUAAAUAAAUAAAACACUUAAGCCAUGCAAUUACAAAUAAAACAUGUAGGAUCACAGAAAAAAUUUUAAAUUAUGAAAGAAAAUACCUCCCAUUGAAGUAGUAGCUACUUGAGUUUGGAUUUGCCCUAUUUAACUCCAAAAUUAACCAAAAUCAUUAAGGCACCCAUUUAAUCAACAAAUAAAUCAUUAAAAAUGGAAAUAAACAUGAAAUCAAUCAACUGAAACAUUCAAAUGGAAUAUAAUUCAUAAUUAAAAAGGAAAAGCAACUUCUAUUUAAGUAAUCAAAUCUAUUAGGGACCUAAUUACAAAAAUUAACAAAGUUUUAGGGAUCAAAUUGAAUUAUCACAAAGACCCAAGGUCAAAAUUAAAGAAAAAUAAAGUUUAGGGACCUAUUUACAAUUAAAUUAGGGACUUAAUUGAAGAAACCUAAAGUAUUUAGGACCACAAUAAAAUUAUUCAAAAAUCAAGGGACUGAAAUAUAAUUUCGUAACCAGAUUCUUAGCCAAAUCGGCCAUUAGGCCACUCUUAUUUAUCAUUUGGGCCAAAGGCCAUAAGGUCCACACAAAAGUCUAAGGAAAAAUACACAGGCUAGCCCGUAGUUGUAUCCAAAACACCAGCCCAAUGACAAAUGCAUGGGCUCUAGCCUCCUAUCCCAAGCCGAAAAUCCCAAUAAAAUAAACUAAAACCCAUUUCUAAAACCCAAACAAAAUAGCCCAGAUUUUUAUAUAAAACCCACCUAACAAACCUCAACCAAAACCUCCAACUAUUUUACCAAACCCAAUCAAAAUAAUAAAUCUAUCAAAAUUAUUAAAUCUUAAAUUUCAUCCUAAAAUUCAUAAAUAAUUUGUAAAAAAAAUCAUAUUAAAAAAUGCCAAAGAAAAUUUAAAUUUAAAGGGGCAGAAUUGAUUAUUUGCAGAAGUUUUUGAUCCACAGUGAAAUUAGGUAAAAAUUGGGGGAUCAAAAAUGAAAUUUUCAGAAAAUUCAUGCAUCCUGCCCAAAGCUUUCUUCUGCAGUUUCUGGGUUUGCUUGUCCGGCCAACUGAAGCUCCGACAGCCACGGCGGCGCCGACGCCUGUCACCGGAAAUUUCUCUGGUUGCCAAAAAUUACCAAAAUACACAUCCCCAUUCGAUUUUUGAAGUAGAUUCUAUUUUUUAAGUUAAUUUUUACAAAAAAAUGACCCGAAAGUGGCCAAAAGAGCAAAAGCCAGUCCAGUUUUUUUUUAACAUUCAAAUCUUCAUCAAAAAUCACAAAACUUUAUACUACCACACUCCUUGCAACUUCUACAAUACCACUAUAUUUUUAAAAUAAAGCAAAACAGCCCCUAAAAUUUAUUUUUUUUUCAUUUUGGCAUUUUUUCAAACAGUUAGCAUACAUAUAUAAAAAUUAUUUCCUUUUCCCUAAUCUAAUUCAAAUCAUUUUCCAAAUUUUUAACAAUACAACAAUAACAAUAAAAGACCACAAAAGCCAGAAAAUUAAACGAUAAAAUAUGGCUUUAACAUGGUUAACAAAAAAAUGAAAAAAAUACCUCAAUCUAAGCAAGAGUUUCACGGUCAAAAUUUUGAAGGGACUCCCAGGCUUCAUUCCUUCGUUGCUUGCUUUGUUGUAUUUAAAUUGUGUGUAGAUGUGUUGUGUGAAUUGAGAAAAUGGAGGGAUAGAGCCGAAAGGAUCAGAGAAAUUUUUUUCUCCUUCUUCCUCUCUGUUUUUUUAUUUCGGCAGCCUAAGCUGAGAGAAGAAGAGAGUGAGGGUCUCUCUGCAAAAUUUUCUUCUACUCCAUUGAGCCAGCCGAGAGAGGGAGAGAGUAAGAGAGUUUUUUUGUUGCUUUCUUCUAAUUUUUUUUCUUCUCUUGGAUCUGUUGCUUCUUCUUUUCUUUCUCUGGUCAAAAGGAUUGAUGGCCAUCAUGAGUCAUCAUGAAGGCUCAUGAUGACUUUCUUUGUCUAGAGUUUCAAAGCAACUCAAGACAAAGACGUAGACACUAAAUUACUUACCUAUCUCUUCUAACUGCACCUGAGUUAAAAUAAACAAGCCAACACUUGGCUGAAAUUAUUGGGCAAAAUGAUGCAAUAACGUUGCAAAACAUGUGACCGAACACUUGUAGAGUUGCAUACGUAUCCUGCCAUGAGAAUCAGGUCAAACGUAGUUCAAAUACAAGUGAACCACAAUAAAACAAGUGCAUUGACCAUCUAUGAUCUUUGCAAAAUCGAAAAAGUUUGAGCUCUCAGAACUUCUAAACAUGAAACACAAAAUGAAUGAUAAAGAACAAUUAUUCAUCAAAAUAGUCAAGAAAAGUGGGUUGUUAUGAUUUAGAAAACGAUGCGCGGCGGGACUUGGUUCUCUGGUCAAUAGGAAAUUAAAUUUGUCAAGAAGGGAGGUAGAAAGGUGCACGGCAGACGUUGAGAUUCAUCAACAGGAAAUUAAAUUUGAUUUGUCAGGAAAUAACAGAUUGGUGGGAUAAGACCCGAGCCCAAUGCAAAUAAAAAUGAUCGGUGGGAUAAAAUUCAAGGCCGCCGUAGUUGGUGGAAUCAAAUCCAAGUCCAACAAGGUAAAAAGGGUCAGUGGAAUAAAACCCAAACCUGUCGAAGUUGGUGGACACGUUAGUGGGAUGAAUCCGAUGCUAACAGUGAUAAAAAAAAACAUGUUAGUGAGAUAAACUCGAUCCUAACGGUGAUAGAAAAAACACACGUUGGUGAGAUAAAGUCGAUGCUAACAAUGAUAGAAAAAACACACGUUAGUGAGAUAAGCUCGAUGCUAACGGUAAAAGAAGAAACACACGUUAGUGAGAUAAAUUUCAUCCUAACUGCGAUAAAAAAAACACGUUAGUGAGAUAAACUCGAUGCUAACUGUAAUAGAAAAAAUACGUUAGUGAGAUAAAUUCGAUACUAACGGUAAUAGAAAAACACAACACACGACCGGGACGUGCCAUCCGGAAACCGGGACGAGGGUAAGAAAGUUUUUAAUGCCACCCCGCCCAAUUGCGUCCAGUCACAUGACCGACAACUCCCCCUCUCUUGGCACUCUCUGGCUUGCUCUAGUAUAGACUGGUGUCCCGAUUCGUCUCAAGAUAGAUUUCGCUGAUAUUAUAAAGAGAGGCAAAAUGUACAGUAAAGACCCAAAGAUACAUAUCCCCAACCAAAAAAUAAUAAUAAUAAAAGAAGUACAGAGAUAGAGUUGCUGGUAGCGGAAGAGAGAGGGGAAUGGGGAAAAAGCCAAGGCCAAAGCCAAGCCCAAAGAUGACGUCUAUGCGAAUGGGACUUCUAAUCCUCAUUUGGAGAGCGUGGAGGACAAGCAGACAAGUCCUAGCAGGUUACCAUCAAAGAAGAAGGCAUCAAUGAGCAGCUUACCCUCAAAGAAGAAAUUGUCAAAGAAAGCAUCACCAAGCAGCUUACCUUUAAAGAAGAAUUCAUCUAAGAAGGCAUUAUUAAAUAUGGCUAGAACUGUUAG